GACUUCAAAACAAAAAAUUUCUGGCUCUGCCACCGCCUGUGAUCACAUAGUUUAAUCAACAUCUGUCUAUACAUUUCUAACCUGUUGUAGUAAUUCCAAAUAAAAAGAGGGAUACUAUAAUAUCUUAAGCGAUACGGAAACCACCUCGAUCGGCAGAGUUUGUUGGAUUCACACGUUAUCUCUUGCCUCCCCCCAGUGGGGCUGAAGUUCAUGAAGGAAAAUCGAUCAUCUUCUGCUCUUUCGUUCAUCAUAAUCUCUGUUUGACUUGGUUCUACACACAGACACACAUGUCCAAAUUUUCAAAUUAAUAGUAUUUAUGUAAAAAUAGAAAAGAAGAAGGCAAAUUGUGCGGCGUCUCUUUUAAUUCGUUUCCAGAGACAGAAGAAGCUGAGGAUGAACACAAGAAGUCCUACCACGAUGAGCCCAAUGAGAGAAUCACAAAGGGGUUCUCCUUGAGCUGCAAGAAACCGAGCUCAAUGACAUUAAUCAGAAAACAUAAUCAGACAUAUUAAGUAGAGAAGGAAGAGGAAGAGUCGAAACAAAUAUUAACUUCCAUCAUGUCAACUCAAAGGAUGGUUUCCAACUAGUGCGUGACAGAAAAAAAAGUUUCUAUAAGAACACUUUGGAUCGUUUUGAUGUUCUCUCGCUCAUUAUUCAAUUGGCACUCCUCAACAAUAUUUAUAAACGGGGGAGAGACCCUGUUUGUUCUAACCAUCAACGAUCUCUCUGCUCUACUGAACAAUGCCUCUAUCUCCAUACCCUACUUGUUCUAACGAUCAACUGUCUCUCUGACCUACUGAACAAUGCCUCCACACCCUAUUUGUUUCAACCAUACCAUCUCUCGGCCCUACUGAACAAUGCCUCUAUCGCCAUACCCUGUUUGUUCUAACCAUCACCUAACUCUCUGCCCUACUGAACAUUGUGCUCUAAAAACUGUCAUUUUGCUCUGAGAUAUAAGAGAUUACCAGCAAAUUCUGAUAUUAAAUUAGGGUAUGUAGACGAAAGGCAUACGUACCGUUACGAGGUUGUGUUUUCGUGAAAGGUGAAUCCAUCUAUAUGUUACAAUGAAGUUGACAAGUCUCAUU
RNAcentral lists this long non-coding RNA (1085 nucleotides) under Brassica napus (rape). RNAcentral describes it as "long non-coding RNA (BNAP_LNC025997)". The record is from RNAcentral. Lineage: Eukaryota; Viridiplantae; Streptophyta; Magnoliopsida; Brassicales; Brassicaceae.